RNAcentral lists this ribosomal RNA (460 nucleotides) under uncultured bacterium. RNAcentral's name for it is "partial 16S ribosomal RNA". It matches the Rfam family "Bacterial small subunit ribosomal RNA", at positions 338 to 795 of the family's 1533-position model. The record is from RNAcentral.
CCUACGGGUGGCAGCAGUGAGGAAUAUUGGUCAAUGGACGAGAGUCUGAACCAGCCAAGUAGCGUGAAGGAUUACUGCCCUAUGGGUUGUAAACUUCUUUUAUAAAGGAAUAAAACGAGGCACGUGUGCCUUUUUGCAUGUACUUUAUGAAUAAGGAUCGGCUAACUCCGUGCCAGCAGCCGCGGUAAUACGGAGGAUCCGAGCGUUAUCCGGAUUUAUUGGGGUUAAAGGGAGCGUAGAUGGUUUGUUAAGUCAGUUGUGAAAGUUUGCGGCUCAACCGUAAAAUUGCAAUUGAUACUGGCAGUCUUGAGUACAGUUGAGGUAGGCGGAAUUCGUGGUGUAGCGGUGAAAUGCUUAGAUAUCACGAAGAACCCUGAUUGCGAAGGCAGCUUACUAAACUGUGACUGACAUUGAUGCUCGAAAGUGUGGGGAUCAAACAGGAUUAGAUACCCCAGUAGUC